GACGAACGCUGGCGGCGUGCUUAACACAUGCAAGUCGAACGGAAAGGCCCUGCUUUUGUGGGGUGCUCGAGUGGCGAACGGGUGAGUAACACGUGAGUAACCUGCCCUUGACUUUGGGAUAACUUCAGGAAACUGGGGCUAAUACCGGAUAGGAGCUCCUGCUGCAUGGUGGGGGUUGGAAAGUUUCGGCGGUUGGGGAUGGACUCGCGGCUUAUCAGCUUGUUGGUGGGGUAGUGGCUUACCAAGGCUUUGACGGGUAGCCGGCCUGAGGGGGUGACCGGCCACAUGGGGCCAGAGAGACGGCCCAGACUCCUAGGGGAGGCAGCAGGGGGGAAUAUUGCACAAUGGGCGGAAGCCUGAUGCAGCAACGCCGCGGGCGGGAUGACGGCCGUCGGUUUGUAACCCCUUUUCGCCUGUGACGAAGCGUGAGUGAGGGAAAGGGGUAAAGAAGCACCGGCUAACUACGUC
Molecule: ribosomal RNA, 468 nt
Filed under: uncultured bacterium
Lineage: Bacteria
Description: partial 16S ribosomal RNA
Rfam family: Bacterial small subunit ribosomal RNA
Source: RNAcentral